Neoarius graeffei (lesser salmon catfish) is the source of this 3441-nucleotide long non-coding RNA. RefSeq lists it as uncharacterized. Lineage: Eukaryota; Metazoa; Chordata; Actinopteri; Siluriformes; Ariidae. The record is from RefSeq and is a predicted model, not a curated record. The transcript has 3 exons.
GCUCACAAACUUUCAAGCACCACUGUACUGACUGAUAAUACCAAUUACAUGGUGGUAGCUGAAAGAAUACAUUCUGACUACACAUACACUAGCGUACAAUACCUAGCUGAUUUAGGUGACAGGACUAAGUGCCUUAGGCGUAGAGACUCCUAUAGAAAACAUCUAACACCACAUACAGUAGUUCAUUGACUGACUAUUGCCACAGACUGGAAAAUAACCAGUAGGUGAACCAUGUAUGACAGUAUUAUGGAUUUAAUGUUAUCAUUUACAUGAUAAAAGGGGGUAUUGUAGAAUAAAUUUUAGUGUAAUACUGUUUUGUUAUUUUCCUUUUCACUGAGCGUUGCCUCUUCAAGGACUAAUGGCAGAACAUUCUGCACUGAAGCAUUUUUCAUCUUAUCAUGUUCCUUACAUGCAUUGCAGAUGUGUGUACGAGCCAGCGAUUAGACGAGAUCCAAUCGGCUUUAGAGCUGAUCAUGCUCCCGGCACGUGAUCAGGGCAUGCAAUUGCAAUGAUGUAAUGUCUCUUUUUUAUCUAGUAAAGAGUAUAUAUAGAUUUGACAACAAAGGAACAGAGUGAGGGGUGUGCCAAACCAUCACUUUCUGUUUCUGCAGUAAACCUUCUUUCUCUUGCAUAAGGACCAGACUGGUGUUGGUGUUUGUCAUUUUUCCACGACAGUGUACAUUUAAUACAGUAGCGUGGGGGAGGUGCAUAUAUUAUUACUCAGACAUAUUUUGACUAUGAGAUGAGAUAAUGAUCUGAGAUAACUUCAGACUGUGGAAGUGUGACUAUAUUUUCUAUGUUUAACCCAAAUGUUAGUAUUAGAUCGAGAGUGUGACCACCAUUAUAGAUUGGUCCUAUGACACUCUGAUUAACCCCUACUGAAUCUAAGAUGGACACAAACACUGUUUUCAAAGGGUCUUCUGGGUUAACUAAGUGAAUAUUAAAAUCUCCGACAACUAAAGCUUUGUCUAAGGAAAUUACCAGGUCUGAGAUAAAAUCUGCAAAUUCAGAAAGAAACUCAGAAUAUGUCCCCAAGGACCUGUAGCUUCAUUUAAUGCUAUAUAUUCAUUUGGCUUAAUCCAUGUUUCAGUUAAACAAAGUACAUUAAAACUCCUGACCUGUAAUAAGUUCAUUAACCAUUCGCACUUUAGAUGUAAGAGAUCUAAUAUUUAAUAGCCCCACUUUUAGAUCAAAGGUGCUGGCAGCAGCUGUACAGUUAGUAUGAUCUAAUUUUAUAUUGAUUAGGUUCCUGGAACAAACUCUGAGUAUUUCUACUUUUUUGUUGAGCUCAGGGAACAGACAUAGUCUCGAUGUAGUGGACCCUGAGUGACGACUCUGUGCAGCUAGCAGACAGUCGGUUUAGCCUGUUUGUCUGCUCCCUGGCCUUGGCUCUGGAUUGUCAGAAGUUAACUAGGCCUGUUCUGAGAUUAUGGCCCAUGCUACAAGAAAUGAAAUAGGCCAUAAGGUGAACCUCGAAAAGUCCUUCCGAAAAUGGAUCCCACUCCGACCUCUCCGAACCGCACACGCUUCAGUUCAUAAAAAAGAAUGAGUUGUGGUAAGAUUACAACAAAAAGUUCACGUCACAGAAUCACGCUCAGUUCUUAAAUCGCAACAUUUAAUGAAGAACUAGUAUCUCCAAGGCGUAUGUACAUAUUCGGCAGGCGUAAUAACACUUUGGCUCGCGAGAGGUGCCACGGUUGAAACGUCAUCAGACUGGACGAAUCGGGUAGCUGGUAGCUCCCAGCUGUGCUAGGUAAACAGAAGCAGCAUGGCAGCCACCGGAGUAGCAGUGCUAUCAUCCAGCAGUACCAAAGAAGAAGAAAACUCGGCCGAAACUGUUGAAAAAACUAAAUCUUCGACACGUAAGACUUGUUAUAUGCACAUAUCUUUCUGUGAAGCAUGAAAAAACACAGAAUUUCACCAGCAUACGGUGGAAUACUUACCGAAACAGCCUUCGGCAGUGGCUGGAGUUGAGGGUGAGUGCAGAGACGUAUCCAAAAAUUACAAACACUGUCUUGACUUGGAUUUUGAUAAAAUUCCCAAAGACGCGGCUUUCCAUCCCACGUUACCGGAGAUUCAUUGACAAGCGCGAAAUUGAAAGAGCAAAAAGGCAUCUCGUGCGAGAGAAAGAGCGGGGAGAUGAUAAACAAGACCCCCAGACCAGCGAGGCUAUCCCUGCAACAGUGACUGGCACGACUCCGACAAGGAAACUUCGUUCCAGAUCAAGCCUGCCCAUCUCGAGCUCUGGCCCCGUCCUUCCUGCCAUCUGUAUAAUAUGCAAGAAAACCUGCAAAUAUGUCGUCAAGGCUGGCAGAUGACAAAAAGAAGCUUUGUCAAAGACACAGACUUUAACCGCAGGUAAGCUAAAAGGCAUCUCACCCUCAUCCCCAACUACACAGUAGGUAGUCUAUACAAAUGCAUCCCAUCCCCCAGCACACACAGAGAGAGAAAGAGAGAGUAGUUGAAUGACUACACUGCUACUGACUGCACACAAUCUCCUUGCAUUUGUCUAAUUUGAAUGUAUGUGUGGAUUUAUACAGUACAUUGACGUACAGAUGUAUGGAUGGCUGUAUGAAUAUGGAAAGAUGUCUAUUGGUUGUACUUUUGCUGGUGUGUGUGUGUGUGUGUGUGUGUGUGUGUGUGUGAACUAUAAUGUGUUGUGUAUGUGUGUGGGUGUGAGUAAAAUAACAUUCCAAUACAUAACUUCCCCAUGCCUAUAAUAUUCCAAUACCAUAAAUGACCAAAAUGCAGUGUUUGAGUUAAGGACUGCCCCCCCUUCUGUCUUAAUGCCUGUUGCAAAGAUUUGACAAUAAAGUACACUUUGACUUUAAUAGGGUAGUGUGUAUGUUUGAAUGGAUGUCAUAGUAUGUCUUUGUGCUUUGAUGUUAAUAUGCCACUGAAUACCAGUCCACCAGGAAAAAUGAAGUCUGACUGUUUGUCUGCCUAUCUAUCCAUCCUUUUUUCUUUUCUUUUGUACAAGGCAAGUUGCAGGAAGCUGCUGAAGUAAAGGACGACCAUAGCAUUCUUGUUCAUGUCAAGGACAAAGACUGUGUGGCUCUGGAGGUGCAGUACCACAAAAGUUGCUACCGACAGUACACAAGGUUUUUGAGUGAUCCUGCCAGAGUAGAGAAAGAACAGAUUGAGCCAACGUUUGAUCUCCGCUAUAAGCUGUUCUGUGAGAGGGUAAUCCGUCAAAGCCUGCUGAUCAACCAAGAGGUGCUGAGAAUGAGCCAACUGAGGAAGACCUUUAUUGACCUGGUGCAGUCAAGUGAAGGUGUUGAUGCUUCAAGCUACAGACAGGAUACAUUUAAGAGGAGACUCACCCGUGAUUUUCCUCAGCUUGUGUUCCAAUAGCAUGUUGUGGUUUUUACCUCUAUACUAUUCCAUUGAUAUCAUUAUCAUUCAUUUUAUUAUGAUGUUUAUUUAUAUAUGUAUAUAAGU